GCCGGGAUGGUGGAAUUGGUAGACACGUAAGAUUCAGAUUCUUAUGAGAGAAAUCUCGUACGGGUUCAAAUCCCGUUUCCGGCACCA
This 87-nucleotide transfer RNA is filed under the name Tepiditoga spiralis. Its description in RNAcentral is "Oceanotoga sp. sy52 tRNA-Leu". It matches the Rfam family "tRNA". From Rfam's summary of the family: Transfer RNA (tRNA) molecules are approximately 80 nucleotides in length. Lineage: Bacteria; Thermotogati; Thermotogota; Thermotogae; Petrotogales; Petrotogaceae. The record is from RNAcentral.